This is a small nuclear RNA of Anastrepha obliqua, 194 nucleotides long. RefSeq annotates it as U2 spliceosomal RNA. The record is from RefSeq and is a predicted model, not a curated record. NCBI's taxonomy places the organism in Eukaryota, Metazoa, Arthropoda, Insecta, Diptera, Tephritidae. The transcript has a single exon.
AUCGCUUCUCGGCCUUAUGGCUAAGAUCAAAGUGUUCUGUUCUUAUCAGCUUAACAUCUGAUAGAUCCUCCAUCGGAGGACAACAAAUGUUAAACUGAUUUUUGGGAAUGGGCGGAGUGUUUUAGGGGCUUGCUCCACCUCUGCCACGGGUUGGCCCGGUAUUACAGUACCGCCGGGAUUUUGGCCUUGAAUAA